Molecule: long non-coding RNA, 468 nt
Organism: Rhipicephalus sanguineus (brown dog tick)
Lineage: Eukaryota; Metazoa; Arthropoda; Arachnida; Ixodida; Ixodidae
Exons: 3
Source: RefSeq, a predicted model, not a curated record
AAAGCGGUCAAGCCAAGCCCCCGCUGCACGCAACUGCGUCGAUCCACUACGAGCCGCCGUAGCCUCGAGCGGGGUUACUGGGUUCACGUAGCGUGCAGUACGAGUCCGACGAUCACGGAAUUUUCAAACGCUGGCGCCCGCUUUCGAAGCAGCUGCUGGGACGAGAUGCACACGCAACUUCGCUGCCGAGCACGCCGAUGUUGAGAGGUCGUCGGCGCGAGCGCAGGAUUACCGGUACUUCACGUCAACAGAGCUCACACCAUGUCUGAGUGCCCAUGGGCGCUUCAGUGGCGUUCACACGGCUACUUCUCAAGUACGGGUACUUGGGCAAGACCACGUACAGGCCGUGCGGCACACUUCUCCGUGACAACCUGAGACGGGAAUGGCGGCGACACAUUCUGCGAUCAGCCGAGGCCACUGUGCUACCCAUGGAAGAAGCCUGGCCGGACCAAAUAAAUGCCGACUCAU